AUUGAACGCUGGCGGCAUGCCUUACACAUGCAAGUCGAACGGCAGUACGGGAGCUUGCUCCUGGUGGCGAGUGGCGAACGGGUGGGUAAUACAUCGGAACGUACACAGUAGGUGGGGAUAACGACCCGAAAGGUGCGCUAAUACCCAACACGACCUAGGGGUGCAAGCGGGGGACCGCAAGGCGUCGCGCUAUUGGAGCGGACGAGGUCUGAUCAGCGUGUUGGCGGGGUAAAGGCCCACCAAGGCGACGAGCAGUAGCUGGGCUGAGAGGACGAUCAGCCACACUGGGACUGAGACACGGCCGAGACGCCUACGGGAGGCAGCAGUGGGGAAUUUUGGACAAUGGGGGCAACCCUGAUCCAGCAAUGCCGCGUGUGCGAAGAAGGCCUUCGGGUUGUAAAGCACUUUUGUCAGGGAAGAAAUCUUUCAGGCUAAUACCCUUGGAAGGAUGACGGUACCUGAAGAAUAAGCACCGGCUAACUACGUGCCAGCCGCCGCGGUAA
Molecule: ribosomal RNA, 503 nt
Filed under: uncultured bacterium
Lineage: Bacteria
Description: partial 16S ribosomal RNA
Rfam family: Bacterial small subunit ribosomal RNA
Source: RNAcentral